This is a long non-coding RNA of Salvelinus fontinalis (brook trout), 3523 nucleotides long. RefSeq lists it as uncharacterized. The transcript is spliced from 4 exons. NCBI's taxonomy places the organism in Eukaryota, Metazoa, Chordata, Actinopteri, Salmoniformes, Salmonidae. The record is from RefSeq and is a predicted model, not a curated record.
UAAACGUUGAAGAAGUAUCCUAGAUUAUAUCCUUGUAUUUCCGUGUUUGUACAUUAGAUGUUCCCGACCUGGAAAAGGUGGACAAGUGGUGUUUGUUGUCGUCAACCACCCAAAUCAGGAUCAUCAACCAUGUCCACCUCUAUCACAACUGCAAAUGGAGUUGUGGUAGUGACACAAGAGUUCCCCUUCGCGAAGAGUGGCAAGGCUUCAGUGCCACUUCUGAAUGUCACUCCCCAAAUCCAGAGUGCGCCCCCCGCUGUGCCACUGCCUACCACUAAAGUGUCAGAGAUGACAAGGGUGUUCCUGCAGGUUCAGACACAAUCUCUUGGGGUGAGAACAUAAUAUUACUGUCCUUUUGUUUUUAGUGCUCAUUCCAUCCAUUUGCCAUUGGAUUCAAUCAUCAGCUGUGAUAUUGUAGAGAUCUAUAUUUAACAUCCUUUGAGGGCAAUUUGAUUUAGAAGAAAACAUCAAGGCUAAAUUGUUAACCACUAUUAGUUACCAUUUCCACUAUCGUUACUUAAUGUUCCCCCGAAUUACUGUUGUCUCAGAUUGUGCAGAUCGUCCUUGGAUUGGUGUGCAUGGUGGUGAGCCUGCUCUUCUCUCCCCUAUCCUGUAUGACCAGUUCCCACUCUUCAUGGGAGUUGCUGUAAGUUCUGGGUCCCAAGGGGGCAAGUAAUAUCCAGCAUGCUUAAUGUUACACGGACACAUGCAAUUUUAGAGAUGUUUCCUCAGAGUGAAUCUGGCAUCAUCUAUCUUACAGUAGUCCUAUUGUAACCUAGAAAAGUAGGUGAACAAGCAGGAUAAGUGACUUCAGAUCAGCAUUUAUGGCCAAAGGGCAUCCCACACCCACAGGAGACAGCAGAACUUGUGUUUAUCUAUAAAGUGUAGGCCUCUACAGUGGGUGACAUUGGAUGUGGCAGUUGAUUGGACAGCAUCACCUUAGCGUCAUAUGUCAAUGGUCACCUAAUAAUCCCCAGUUUACAAUUGGCUCAUUCAUCCCCCUCCUCUCCCCUGUAACUAUUCCCCAGAUCGUUGCUGCAAAUGAGAACGUGUUCUCAGUCAACUUACCUUGUAAAAUAAAAUAAAUAAAUAAAUAAAUAUUUGUGUUUUCUUUAAGAGUAUGUCACCUUUGUUUCCACAGGUGAAGUAAAAUGUCUCACUGAAUGUAAUGACUGCGAUAUUCACCAUGGCGGGUUUUGGGCUUGCAGUAUGUAGGACUCUUUUGUCCAUGGAACUAUUCUCUGUUGCUUUUAAAAAGUUCCACUUCAGCUGACCAGUCAGUCCAGAACUCUGGGGUUCGGAUCUCGAGGUUCUACAGUACUUGGUCAAAGUACUGAAACAAGUCCAAAUAACUAGCCACUAGCUCCCCACAGUGGUAUCAAUCAUAAUGGUUAUCGGGUCCAGAACAUUUGACCAAUAGUGUAACUCACUAGGUCCCCACAACAUCUGGCACUGUGUGUUGAAGCUGGCGCAGACACCGCUGUAGCAGUAGGAGGAGCCUUCCUCGCAGGGCUCGCCGUUCUGCAGGAACACGUUGGGAGGGCAGUAGGGAGAGGUACCGGUGCAGUGCUCUGGGAGGUCACACUCCCCCAGGGGCUGCCGACACAUCCAUCCACCUGAACGCAGCUGGUCAGACAGAGAAAAUAGACAGUAGAUCAGUAAAGGGGUUUAUGAUUUAGACCUUUGUUCAGCUUCUUGUGAUAGAUCAUGUAACAGUUUAGUUUAUUAGGAUCACUAUUAGCAAUUGCACAUGUGUAACGGUAUAACUUUAAACCGUCCCCUCGCCCCGACACGGGCGCGAACCAGGGACCUUCUGCACACAUCAACAACGGUCACCCACGAAGCAUCGUUACCCAUCGCUCCACAAAGGCCGCGGCCCUUGCAGAGCAAGGGGCAACACUACUUCUUGGUUUCAGAGCAAGUGACGUAACUGAUUGAAACGCUAUUAGCGCGUACCCGCUAACUAGCUAGCCAUUUCACAUCCGUUACACUCACCCCCCUUUCAACCUCCUCCUUUUCCGCAGCAACCAGUGAUCCGGGUCAACAGUAUCAAUGUAACAGUAUAACUUUAAACCGUCCCCUCGCCCCGUAAGGUUCCAGUGAAGGAGACAGAGGGAGAGAGGCUUGCCCACCUUGCAGUUGUCACAACAGAUGCCUUUGGAGGAACACUGGGCCCCAGGAACUUUCCGAAUGCACUGUAUGUCCAAGCAUACACCAUACAAACUGGUCAAAUACCCCUGCAAAGAGGAUCACCCCUACUCCAAUUUCUACUGAGACACGGUGCUCCUGAUCAAUGGCAUGCUGAGCAUUCUGAUUGGUUUCUUGGUGCUGGAGAUGCUGAUCAGUGUGAUGGUUAUUACGUAUGGGCUGUGCACCACGGGUACCGACGGCCCAGAGGUCCCUCAGGAAGAGACUGACACCCCUCUGUGUGUUCCCAGCAGCACUGCAGACCCCCCUGUGCUCCCCUGGCACUCAGAGUGAAGUCACUACAGUGGUGACACUGCCAUGAAACAGUCCGACAUAAUGAUAAAGGGCAACUCUUUGGCCUAGUGGCAAGAAAAAAAAGGGAAGAAACGAAUACCUUACUGUUAUGCUUGCCUUUCUUGCACUAAAACACUUGUACUUGUGUUUUCUUACUAGUACUGAUUCUGAUGAAAGCUGCUUCGUUGAGGAAAGUUUAAUUUACAAUGAUUGUGAUAUGCGGUUGUCUUACCUAGUACAUUAAGUUAAAUAGCUCUGGAUUUCUACUAAGCUAUGUAAAAGACCAGAUGCUGCUGGAAGUGGUGUUGGAGGGCCAGUAGGAGGCACUCUUUCCUCUGGUCUAAAAAAUGUCCCAAUGCCCCAGGGCAGUGAUUGGGUUAGGACACUGCCCUGUGUAGGGUGCCGUCUUUCGGAUGGGACGUUAAACGGGUGUCCUGACUCUCUGAGGUCAUUAAAGAUCCCAUGGCACUUAUCGUAAGAGUAGGGGUGUUAACCCCGGUGUCCUGGCUAAAUUCCCAAUCUGGCCCUCAAACCAUCAUGGUCACCUAAUAAUCCCCAGUUUACAAUUGGCUCAUUCAUCCCCCUCCUCUCCCCUGUAACUAUUCCCCAGGUCGUUGCUGCAAAUGAGAACGUGUUCUCAGUCAACUUACCUGGUAAAAUAACGGUAAAAUAAAAUAAAAUAAAUAAAUAACAAAUAUUUUAAGGUCAUACCAAGGAUUAUUUAGCUAUUUGAUUUAGAAUUUUAAGACCCCUUGAAGAAUCCCCCAAAAUAUAUUUAAAAAAUAUUUGAUGAAAAAUUGUAUUUGGCCCAUACAAAUGCAAUGAAUAACAAAUUCACUACAUUGAACAACAGAUAGUCCCCCCCAGAAAAUCUAAAGGAAGUUUGUUCUUAACUGUCUGAGAGCUAUAACAAAUAUCAGGAACAUUUAUUUGUAUUAUUAUUUGUAUUUAUUUGUACAUGUAUUUAACUCAUUAUUUUUGGCACUAAACAGUGUCCAUAUAUACUUACAUAAUUUUUUAAAACUGGUACUGGCGACCUUCA